UACGUAGGGAGCGAGCGUUGUCCGGAAUUACUGGGUGUAAAGGGAGCGUAGGCGGGCGAGAAAGUUGAAUGUUAAAUCUACCGGCUUAACUGGUAGCUGCGUUCAAAACUUCUUGUCUUGAGUGAAGUAAAGGCAGGCGGAAUUCCUAGUGUAGCGGUGAAAUGCGUAGAUAUUAGGAGGAACACCAGUGGCGAAGGCGGCCUGCUGGGCUUUAACUGACGCUGAGGCUCGAAAGCGUGGGGAGCAAACAGG
This 252-nucleotide ribosomal RNA is filed under the name uncultured bacterium. RNAcentral's name for it is "partial 16S ribosomal RNA". It matches the Rfam family "Bacterial small subunit ribosomal RNA", at positions 524 to 776 of the family's 1533-position model. The record is from RNAcentral.